GCCUAACACAUGCAAGUCGAACGAACUCUUCGGAGUUAGUGGCGCACGGGUGCGUAACGCGUGGGAACCUGCCCUUAGGUUCGGAAUAACUCAGAGAAAUUUGAGCUAAUACCGGAUAAUGUCUUCGGACCAAAGAUUUAUCGCCUUUGGAUGGGCCCGCGUUGGAUUAGCUAGUUGGUGAGGUAAAAGCUCACCAAGGCGACGAUCCAUAGCUGGUCUGAGAGGAUGAUCAGCCACACUGGGACUGAGACACGGCCCAGACUCCUACGGGAGGCAGCAGUGGGGAAUAUUGGACAAUGGGCGCAAGCCUGAUCCAGCAAUGCCGCGUGAGUGAUGAAGGCCGUAGGGUAGUACAGCUCUUUUAAAAACGAUGAGGUGACAAUACCUG
RNAcentral lists this ribosomal RNA (388 nucleotides) under uncultured bacterium. RNAcentral describes it as "bacterial SSU rRNA". It matches the Rfam family "Bacterial small subunit ribosomal RNA", at positions 46 to 462 of the family's 1533-position model. The record is from RNAcentral.